UAACGCGGGGCAACCUGGCGACGAGUGGCGAACGGGUGAGUAAUAUAUCGGAACGUGCCCAGUAGUGGGGGAUAGCCCGGCGAAAGCCGGAUUAAUACCGCAUACGACCUACGGGUGAAAGGGGGGGAUCGCAAGACCUCUCGCUAUUGGAGCGGCCGAUAUCAGAUUAGGUAGUUGGUGGGGUAAAGGCCUACCAAGCCGACGAUCUGUAGCUGGUCUGAGAGGACGACCAGCCACACUGGGACUGAGACACGGCCCAGACUCCUACGGGAGGCAGCAGUGGGGAAUUUUGGACAAUGGGCGCAAGCCUGAUCCAGCCAUGCCGCGUGCGGGAAGAAGGCCUUCGGGUUGUAAACCGCUUUUGUCAGGGAAGAAAAGUUCUGGGUUAAUACCCUGGGGCGAUGACGGUACCUGAAGAAUAAGCACCGGCUAACUACGUGCCAGCAGCCGCGGUAAU
Molecule: ribosomal RNA, 457 nt
Filed under: uncultured Burkholderiales bacterium
Lineage: Bacteria; Pseudomonadati; Pseudomonadota; Betaproteobacteria; Burkholderiales
Description: bacterial SSU rRNA
Rfam family: Bacterial small subunit ribosomal RNA
Source: RNAcentral